GUUCCCGUAGCUCAGCUGGCAGAGCGCUACCUUGACAUGGUAGAGGUCAUCAGUUCAAGCCUGGUCGGGAACACCA
Molecule: transfer RNA, 76 nt
Filed under: Eubacterium sp.
Lineage: Bacteria; Bacillati; Bacillota; Clostridia; Eubacteriales; Eubacteriaceae
Description: tRNA-Val
Rfam family: tRNA
About the family: Transfer RNA (tRNA) molecules are approximately 80 nucleotides in length. Their secondary structure includes four short double-helical elements and three loops (D, anti-codon, and T loops).
Source: RNAcentral